UAGGUUCAUGCAUGCCACAGCAACCAUGGA
RNAcentral lists this non-coding RNA (30 nucleotides) under Mus musculus (house mouse). The record is from RNAcentral. Lineage: Eukaryota; Metazoa; Chordata; Mammalia; Rodentia; Muridae.